Molecule: small nucleolar RNA, 104 nt
Organism: Pan troglodytes (chimpanzee)
Lineage: Eukaryota; Metazoa; Chordata; Mammalia; Primates; Hominidae
Rfam family: Small nucleolar RNA U13
Source: Rfam
AUCCUUUUGUAGUUCAUAAGUGUAAUGAUUGGGUUUUCGUGUUCCUUUGUGAGAUAUACCGCCCUCAAACUUUGUUAGAACAUCAGCACAUUACCCAUCUGAUG